RNAcentral lists this non-coding RNA (29 nucleotides) under Mus musculus (house mouse). The record is from RNAcentral. Lineage: Eukaryota; Metazoa; Chordata; Mammalia; Rodentia; Muridae.
UAAACGUAGGCGGACUAAUGCGUUUUCAA